This 93-nucleotide transfer RNA is filed under the name Salmo salar (Atlantic salmon). It matches the Rfam family "tRNA". From Rfam's summary of the family: Transfer RNA (tRNA) molecules are approximately 80 nucleotides in length. Their secondary structure includes four short double-helical elements and three loops (D, anti-codon, and T loops). Further hydrogen bonds mediate the characteristic L-shaped molecular structure. tRNAs have two regions of fundamental functional importance: the anti-codon, which is responsible for specific mRNA codon recognition, and the 3' end, to which the tRNAs corresponding amino acid is attached (by aminoacyl-tRNA synthetases). tRNAs cope with the degeneracy of the genetic code in two manners: having more than one tRNA (with a specific anti-codon) for a particular amino acid; and 'wobble' base-pairing, i.e. permitting non-standard base-pairing at the 3rd anti-codon position. The record is from Rfam by way of RNAcentral. Lineage: Eukaryota; Metazoa; Chordata; Actinopteri; Salmoniformes; Salmonidae.
UCCCCUGUGGCUCAGUUGGUAGAGCAUGGUGUUUGCAAUGCCAGCAUGGUGUUUGCAACGCCAGGGUUGUGGGUUUGAUUCCCACGGGGGGCC